GGCCUGGGCCUCUUAAGGGUUAAAUAAUACAAAAAAACAUAUCAAAUUGUCUCGCCGACCGCCCUAAUUAAAUUUGGCACUUUGGCUGCUAAGCUGUUUAGUCAGGUGAUACAAUCGGUGCCAAGAUCUCACUCUGCUCAGGCUAUGGGAUCAGAUUAUUUAGUCACCUAUAUAGUAUAGUAUAUCUAUAGACUACAGGCUGUAGGCAAUGAUCAAUGUUGCACUCCAACAGCAGGUUAUUGAAAAUGUCAAGUCAAGUUACAUUUAUUUAAAUUGAGCUUCCAUCACCAAGUUAAAAUCCAUUCUAAACCAAAUCCAUUUGAACAGCAAAGAAUAGAACAGGCUACCUAGAUCUCACGCACAGGGGGAGAAUUUCCCCAGCGGUACAGUGACUAUGCUGCAGCAGGUGUGUUAAACAUGACUAGAUGUGUGUUUGUGUUAAACAUGACUAGAUGUGUAUUUGUGUUAAACAUGACUAGAUGUGUAGGUGUGUUAAACAUGACUAGAUGUGUAUUUGUGUUAAACAUGACUAGAUGUGUGUGUUAAACAUGACUAGAUGUGUGUGUUAACCAUGACUAGAUGUGUGUGUUAAACAUGACUAGAUGUGUAGGUGUGUUAAACAUGACUAGAUGUGUGUGGUAAACAUGACUAGAUGUGUGUGUUAAACAUGACUAGAUGUGUAUUUGUGUUAAACAUGACUAGAUGUGUGUGUUAAACAUGACUAGAUGUGUAGGUGUGUUAAACAUGACUAGAUGUGUGUGUUAAACAUGACUAGAUGUGUAGGUGUGUUAAACAUAACUAGAUGUGUAGGUGUGUUAAACAUGACUAGAUGUGUAGGUGUUUUAAACAUGACUAGAUGUGUGUGUUAAACAUGACUAGAUGUGUGUGUUAAACAUGACUAGAUGUGUGUGUUAAACAUAACUAGAUGUGUAGGUGUGUUAAACAUGACUAGAUGUGUAGGUGUGUUAAACAUGACUAGAUGUGUGUUAAACAUAACUAGAUGUGUAGGUGUGUUAAACAUGACUAGAUGUGUGUGUUAAACAUGACUGUGUGUUAAACAUGACUAGAUGUGUAGGUGUGUUAAACAUGACUAGAUGUGUGUGUUAAAUAUGACUAGAUGUGUG
Long non-coding RNA from Clupea harengus (Atlantic herring), 1124 nucleotides. Lineage: Eukaryota; Metazoa; Chordata; Actinopteri; Clupeiformes; Clupeidae. The record is from Ensembl.